RNAcentral lists this unclassified non-coding RNA (1370 nucleotides) under Hevea brasiliensis (rubber tree). The record is from RNAcentral. Lineage: Eukaryota; Viridiplantae; Streptophyta; Magnoliopsida; Malpighiales; Euphorbiaceae.
UGCAUUGAUUUUAUUGUUUGGUCUACAUACCAAAAGUCCAAAACUAAUGACAUUUCCAGGAUCAUAUACAGUGUCCUGUUUAACAAUCUUCUGUCUCUUAUCCCUACAAGCUCUUCCCUGACUACCACACCAAGGUUUUCUCGGAAAACUCGUGUUUAGUUGCAUCAUUGAGUUUGAAACCCUGAACGGACUGUCAAUGAUAAGCUGGAGGAAGGUGAGUAUGACUUCUGAGUCAUUCUUAUUGACUUAACACCAUCUACAUAAGGCCAUAGCUUGUGGAAAUGUAUACUGUUCUUCAAUCCCAGAAAAUGCUCAUUGAACAAGUGGUCAAUGCUGGGUGAGAGUUUUAGGCUAUCUUUUGCACUUCGUACUCGUGAGAUAUUUUAAGAGGUGAGUCCUUUGAGACAGGCCUUUCUUCAGACCAGAGCUCUAGAUUCACUGUUCCGGUACCCCAAUGCACCAUACAUUUGUGUACUUGAUCGAUGUUGAAUCGAUUGACUAAUCCCAGACCAAGACAUCUAUCAACAAGCAUCCAUUCACCCUUUGGGCGAAGAUCUCCUUCAAACACUUGUUCUCCAGAUUCUGGCCAAAGUUCAUGCUUGGACCCAUUGAGGGAAGUAAAGGACACGUAUGAUUCAGUUGGGUGCAACAACGUGAACAUUGGAUGCACACGCAAGCACACAAGCCUAGAAAAUCCUCCAGAACCAGCACCAACUCCACGAGCUACAAUUCCAGAAUCAAUGCGGAAAACCUUGGAGUUGUCUUUUGGCAAAGAUAUAUAUCGUUCCAUAAAUAAUCCACCACCUAUAUCACCUUCCAGCCUAAGAGACUCUGAUUCUCCUUCCUGUUCCAGAUCUCGUUCAAUAACUGAAUACUCCUCGGUACAUCCAGCUGAUCUGUAUUCACGGUUACUAUAUUCUUCAUACCCAUUUAUUUCCACCCGGCUGUGAAGCCAUUGAGUUCCUGAAGGAACAUGGUCCAUAGAAAGGAUUCUACCACCUAUCCAAGGGACCGCUUUCAGCUCCCAAUCACCACUCUUCAGAACAACUGGAGUCCUUGAAAGUUCUACUCCUUUAUGUCCAGAGAUAGUUUCCACGUCUGGUAUACGUUUAGCACCUUCCAGACGAUUUCUGUACUUCUCUUCACUUUCAGAAACCAAAUUUGAUACAUCAGUUUCUGAUGGCAUUGCUAAUUGUAUAAUCUCUCCAUCAGAACCCCAAGCAUCAAGCAUAGCACCUUUACCCAGCAAUAUUCUAACAUGCAAUCGGCGCUUUGGCCUUCUCCAAUUUCCUUCUGUUUUGGCGACUUGCACAGUAACAACAGAAGACUGAAGCUCAGCAACAUAUGUCGUCAAAAGAUAUCCACCUUGG